UGGGGGCCCGCACAAGCGGUGGAGCAUGUGGUUUAAUUCGAAGCAACGCGAAGAACCUUACCAAAUCUUGACAUCCUCUGACCCCUCUAGAGAUAGAGUUUUCCCCUUCGGGGGACAGAGUGACAGGUGGUGCAUGGUUGUCGUCAGCUCGUGUCGUGAGAUGUUGGGUUAAGUCCCGCAACGAGCGCAACCCUUAAGCUUAGUUGCCAUCAUUAAGUUGGGCACUUUAAGUUGACUGCCGGUGACAAACCGGAGGAAGGUGGGGAUGACGUCAAAUCAUCAUGCCCCUUAUGAUUUGGGCUACACACGUGCUACAAUGGACAAUACAAAGGGCAGCGAAACCGCGAGGUCAAGCAAAUCCCAUAAAGUUGUUCUCAGUUCGGAUUGUAGUCUGCAACUCGACUAUAUGAAGC
Molecule: ribosomal RNA, 413 nt
Filed under: Staphylococcus epidermidis
Lineage: Bacteria; Bacillati; Bacillota; Bacilli; Caryophanales; Staphylococcaceae
Description: bacterial SSU rRNA
Rfam family: Bacterial small subunit ribosomal RNA
Source: RNAcentral